CUGCUUCUACUUUCUGUAUGGAGCUGGGAGCGUCUGCCUGUUGGACGCCCGAAGAGCGUCAGGUUUGAUCCUUGGUAUGCAGAUGAACAUGACGAAUUACGGCGCCCCACGUGGGCUUACAAGUGGGAUAUCGUUUCCGAGAUGACAAACGAUGUCAAUCUCAUGUACCAAAAGUACAUUGCCGAGUUGGACACGAUUACGCCUGAGCAGGUAAGGAGGUCAUUACUUUAG
Molecule: ribosomal RNA, 231 nt
Filed under: Triticum aestivum (bread wheat)
Lineage: Eukaryota; Viridiplantae; Streptophyta; Magnoliopsida; Poales; Poaceae
Description: partial small subunit ribosomal RNA
Source: RNAcentral